UGGCAGGUCACCAUUGUAGCCUGAGUUACACAGGAUUUGAACCUCACAUCGGUGCCCUGUCCUCACUAACCAGAUGCCGCCGCACACAGCACCAUCCUAGGGGCAGAGUGGCAUCUUAGACUUCCAGCAUAAACAGAGAUAUGUCCUGGUUUAGGCUUUGCUCCUUAAUCCUAGGCUGAGGAAAAGAACCAUGUGUCCAAAAAGUAGAAAACUUUAUUAUUUUUUACUUUACUACAUUUUUAUUUUUGCUGUUUUCCUCCUUCUAUUCAUCCCCCUCCCCAUUUCUACUCUAUUUUAUUUUUUUGUGUGUUUGUGUGUGUGUGUGUGUGUGUAUGUCUUCCCUCACUUUUUUUUUAUUUUAAAAAUAAAAGGAGGAAAAC
Molecule: long non-coding RNA, 380 nt
Filed under: Chinchilla lanigera (long-tailed chinchilla)
Lineage: Eukaryota; Metazoa; Chordata; Mammalia; Rodentia; Chinchillidae
Description: lncRNA (ENSCLAG00000028335.1)
Source: RNAcentral